GAUAUAUAACACAAUAAAGGAAAGGGAAAACGCCAAAAAGCAUAAUAUGAGCACUUUAACAUUGAAGUUUUCUGGUGAAAACCUCAAAGCAACCUAAUGCGCUUUAUUAGUUGAACUAAAUGAUUGUGCAGCCUUUGUCAGUUGGAAAAGGUUUUAUAACCCUAGGGCUUAAGAAACACUGUCACUUCGUUUUUUUUGUUUAGCCGUGAAAAACAGACACAUUAAGGAUCUUUUUAGCCAAUGGCAAACAUUUUCUCUCUGCCAUUAACGCAAUUACUGCUGUCAAGUUUCUCAGUUUUUGUGCCUCUGCAGGUGCUUUUGCACAAGUGUUCAUCCACUCCACCGCUGUUGCUGACUUGCAGUCACUGUGCUGGCAUCUUGACACAGAGCCAAUGACACGGCUGUCACACAGUGGGCUCCAAUUAGGGUAGGUGAGAACAGCAUAUAGCUGGAGAUUUGGGCUUCUAGCAAUAGGCACAGCCGGAGCUCAUUGUUACAGGAGAAGACAGAUUGGCACACAGUCCUGGGGUGGUUAGGGGUGAUGUGAAUCCCACUUGUUGGUGAGAAAUAAUGAUAUCCUGGAAGCUGUUUUUUAGAAAUCUGGAAGAGAAUAACUCUAAACCUCCAUCUGCCUUCAACACAUUAUGAUGAAAAUAAAAAUCAAGUGCUAAACAACAAGUGCACAAAACUUUUUGCCCAACUUAUGUCUCAGUUCUCUAAAUACAUAACAAACUUUGAGUUGUCUCCCACACUGCAUCCACACUUCCACUUCAAAAGGGAAGUGUUUAAUGCGAGAAAAUAAAGUCUUCACACUUGGAUUCACCUGACGUGUCAUUAGUUUUUACACUCUUUUACACCAACUCAGCGAUUUUUGUUAACAUUGCUAUUACGAUGAUGAUUUUGAUUUUGUCUGCACAUAUAUCACAGCCCUUCUGCUUGUCAAUCUCAGAAAUAACAGUUACAUAAACAGCCUCAUUAAUGACUGCAUUUAUUUGGCAUUUUAAUAGACACUACAGCAGUUGGCUGCGUGGCUUAUAAUAAAGUAAAGCUGCUUCAUUAAUCUGAACAUGCACUUCAUUUUCACAGUCUCAGUUCUUUUAUAUUUUUUAUGAAAUGUUCGGGACAGUCAGGUGGAGUCAACCAUGUUCUGUAUUUUACUGAUGUAUUGUGCUUUGUGUGAGCUAUUCAAACCCAACUAUUACUGGUACCGCAAUGACAAAAAUAAAAUACUCUGCCUACGACUGCUACAAAAAUAUGAGGGACAGUGACGGAGGAAAAUAUGUAGGAGAUAGAGUAUAUAAAACAUCACCUGCUAUUCAUUAAAAUGUUAUACCUGACAAGGUUAUUAUAUGAUUCCAGAUGAAAGCUUAAUUCCUUGUUUCAUGUAAUCCAAAUCAAUGUAAGAACUGGGAUAUUUAAGGGGAAGAUGAGGAUGACAGGUGAAAAUGAGGAAGAGGGAUUUUUGAGACAGCUGUUCGGCACAGGGGGAGCUCAGUAUAAAAAAGAUGCUGUUCAAAGUUUGCAGACUUAAAGCCCCUUCACACAUAAUAUCUCUUACACAGUGACCUGUGUGUUGGCCAUGUCCCCCCCCACCCCCUCUCUCUCAAACAUAUUGAUCAUCAUCAAGGUUGCAUUGAAAAGAUGAUUGAGAGUUUAAACAAGGGCGCGAGAGAGAGCGUGAGGGAGGAAAGCCAAAUUAAAAUGUGGUAAUGGAAACAUGAAUGUGACUGUGUGUGUUACUGGAGUCCUUGCCUAAAGCGAAUGAGCUAUUGAUUGAAUUUUGAGAUGCUCUCAUUCAAAGGAUAUCAAAGCGUAAUUAUUUUAAUUGAUUAUCUGCUACCUUGUGAUGUAGCUACAGUGAAACUGUCCUUCAUUUGCGGUCAUUGUGGUGGUCCAGAGGCCUCUUUCUUCUCUCUCAUCUUUGGUCACCUUCUACAGGGCAUCCUACACAAAACAAAUCCUGUCAUAGUGAUUGAACUCUGCAGUGACGAUUUGUUCCUUUUUAUUGUGCAAGUGUUGGUUCACCCAAAUGAAAGCAACAAGGAUUAUUAAAAAAACAAACUAACUUAAAUCUACUGGCUAAGCAAAAAGGUUGGGUUUUACUUUCGACUUUUUAGGUUUCCAGGUAUCUGUCCGUGAGAUAGCAGCAUCCAAAUAGAGGUGAGUGGGAUUUCAUUUGUGGUGUUAACAGCAUAGAAAAUCAGUGUUCCUGCCGUUACUUUGGAUAAACCACAGAACACACUUUCAGUAUAUUAUUUUUUAAUAGGGACUGUUUUUUUUGAUAGAAGGUAGUUCCACAAACUGGCACCACGAACAAAAUUCUCUUCACCUCCAUUGGCAGAAACAGAUAUCUCCUAACUUUAAGAGAAAGAAAAAAAACUAUCUGCAUGGUUGGUUCCAUUCUACAAUGGAAUAAAGGUCCAAGAAACAGCCAGGCCCUUAGAUUUUCGGAGCCAACAAUGGAGAGAGGAGGAAGGAGAAACAGGAGACACUGUGGGAGCUGCUUU
Perca fluviatilis (European perch) is the source of this 2507-nucleotide RNA transcript. It is a transcript of the gene named neurexophilin-2-like, with no coding region annotated. The transcript has 2 exons. Lineage: Eukaryota; Metazoa; Chordata; Actinopteri; Perciformes; Percidae. The record is from RefSeq and is a predicted model, not a curated record.